Paramuricea clavata is the source of this 725-nucleotide non-coding RNA. The record is from the annotation of a GenBank genome assembly. Lineage: Eukaryota; Metazoa; Cnidaria; Anthozoa; Malacalcyonacea; Plexauridae.
GUCAAGUGUGGGCACCCCAAACUGUCAACAACAUCCUAACGAUUGAAUGGUUGCAGUUGACGUGCAUCAAAAUGUAUUCUUUCGCUGCCGUACAAAACAUCUAUCUCGUAUAAGAAACGAUUGGCUACCAUCGGAAUCCUCCCUCUAUGUUACUGGCAUGAGUAUUUAGAUAUGGUGUAUCUUCACAAAUGCCUUAUAAAUAACUCUGACAGUAACAUAUCUAUAAAGAUCCCUACACGAGAAACAUGGAAUGCUAGUUCAACCAACGGCAUCCUACUUCAUGUAACCAAAAGUAAAACUGUUUCUUUUCAAAACAGCUUUUACAUCAGAGCUGCUAAUGUGUGGAACACGCUUCCAGGCUUCAUAAGAAAUACCACCACAUCUCUAACUACAUUUAAAUGUAAUCUAAUGAAAUAUUACGUAGAAUUAACCCAACAAAUUUAUGAUCCUGAAGAUCCAAGAACAUUUAAGUCUGUUUGUAUUAAAUGUCACACCUCUCGCCCACUAAUGAACUUAUGAACUCGAACAUGUUGCUAAAAGACCACCCCUAAAAGUAACCCUUCUAAACACUAUAAGCACUUCAGAAAGGCUGUCGCUUUUCCUUUUCGGAAGUUAGAGCUAUGUCGACACUGCCGUUUCAGGGCGGGGUCAUUUUCAGGACUUUCGUCCCGGAUUCAGGUUUUGGCACAUGUGCCAUGUUGACCGCCAUGGUCAUUUUACCAUAG